This 248-nucleotide unclassified non-coding RNA is filed under the name Hevea brasiliensis (rubber tree). Lineage: Eukaryota; Viridiplantae; Streptophyta; Magnoliopsida; Malpighiales; Euphorbiaceae. The record is from RNAcentral.
UCUCAAACCCAUUGUCGAAUCUCCUGACCAGUCAAGUAUAUUCCUAAUCUCUGUUGACAAACGAAAUGAACUGACACUAGAUCUUUUCUUACCAGUUUUAUUGCCGAUCUCCCUUUCAAAAGUUUAAGAGCUAAGGUUUUGGUCCGGUUUAAUGAGGAUUCCGAUCUUAAGUGUUCAAGUCAAAUUUCUAAUUUUAAUCAAGUCCCAUUUAGCGUUAGUUCCCAGCCGAUCUCAUGCUUAUUGUGUUU